Molecule: unclassified non-coding RNA, 201 nt
Filed under: Hevea brasiliensis (rubber tree)
Lineage: Eukaryota; Viridiplantae; Streptophyta; Magnoliopsida; Malpighiales; Euphorbiaceae
Source: RNAcentral
GGACAUGGAAGACUGCUUUCUAACAGUCCCAGAGCUUCCUUCUUCUCCUGAAUGUGAGCUGAAAACUCUUUCAUGAUGAUAAUUGGAGCUGCAUUGGCUUAUGUUAUCAGGAUCACUAGACUUGCUCAUACCCAAAUGACCAAUCAUCUUCUCUGAGUUCUUCUCACUUGAUUUAUCAUGAAUGGAAAGAUAAAGGUUCUC